Molecule: ribosomal RNA, 380 nt
Filed under: Entomoneis sp.
Lineage: Eukaryota; Bacillariophyta; Bacillariophyceae; Surirellales; Surirellaceae
Description: partial small subunit ribosomal RNA
Rfam family: Eukaryotic small subunit ribosomal RNA
Source: RNAcentral
AUUCCAGCUCCAAUAGCGUAUAUUAAAGUUGUUGCAGUUAAAAAGCUCGUAGUUGGACUUGUGCGUGCCCCCGAUGUCCUUUUUGGUACGUUCGGGGGUGUGCAUCCUUGGGUGGAACCUGCGUGGCAUUAGGUUGUCGGGCAGGGGAUGCUCAUCGUUUACUGUGAAAAAAUUAGAGUGUUCAAAGCAGGCUUACGCCGUUGAAUAUAUUAGCAUGGAAUAAUAAGAUAGGACCUUGGUACUAUUUUGUUGGUUUGCGCACCGAGGUAAUGAUUAACAGGGACAGUUGGGGGUAUUCGUAUUCCAUUGUCAGAGGUGAAAUUCUUGGAUUUCUGGAAGACGAACUACUGCGAAAGCAUUUACCAAGGAUGUUUUCAUUG